GUGGGUUGGUCUCAUCGUGUGAAAUUAUGUUGCCACAAUCCUGGCCUAACCCUUGGAGGAUCCCUUUGUGCUGCUGCUUGUACAGAGUAGCUUUGCACCAGCCCUUGCUGAAGAUGAUGGCAAACUUCUCGGUACAUUUAUUCUAUGGCAGAAGACGCCAGUGAUGAGGGAUUGCCAAUAUACCUCAAGGGAGAACUGUUUUUCCUUGCCUGGCGCACCUCGAUCUUCACCUUGAAAGGUUUGAUCUGCAAGACGAGACUGGCAUUGCCCUCCAGACAGGGUAGCAUCCCAUCAUCCGGGAUCUCCAGGUUGAACCUCUGCAGCAGCCGGGACAUGAAGA
Long non-coding RNA from Dama dama (fallow deer), 340 nucleotides. RefSeq lists it as uncharacterized. The transcript has 3 exons. Lineage: Eukaryota; Metazoa; Chordata; Mammalia; Artiodactyla; Cervidae. The record is from RefSeq and is a predicted model, not a curated record.